AUACGGAGGGUGCAAGCGUUAUUCGGAAUCACUGGGCGUAAAGGACGCGCAGGCGGGUUGGCAAGUCAGAUGUGAAAUCCUACAGCUUAACUGUAGAACUGCAUUUGAAACUGCUAACCUAGAGUAUGGGAGGGGGAGAUGGAAUUAGUGGUGUAGGGGUAAAAUCCGUAGAUAUCACUAGGAAUACCGAAAGCGAAGGCGAUCUCCUGGAACACUACUGACGCUGAGGCGCGAAAGCGUGGGGAGCAAACGGGAUUAGAAACCCUAGUAGUCC
Molecule: ribosomal RNA, 274 nt
Filed under: uncultured bacterium
Lineage: Bacteria
Description: partial 16S ribosomal RNA
Rfam family: Bacterial small subunit ribosomal RNA
Source: RNAcentral